UGCCAGCCGCCGCGGUAAUACGUAGGGAGCGAGCGUUGUCCGGAAUUAUUGGGCGUAAAGGGUGCGUAGGCGGUUUGCCAAGUCAGAUGUGAAAUUCCCGGGCUUAACUCGGGGCGUGCAUUUGAAACUGGUAGACUUGAGUAAAGAAGAGGUAAGUGGAAUUCCUAGUGUAGCGGUGAAAUGCGUAGAUAUUAGGAGGAACACCAGUGGCGAAGGCGACUGCCUGGACUGAUACUGACACUGAGGUGCGAAAGCGUGGGGAGCAAACGGGAUUAGAUA
RNAcentral lists this ribosomal RNA (279 nucleotides) under uncultured bacterium. Its description in RNAcentral is "partial 16S ribosomal RNA". It matches the Rfam family "Bacterial small subunit ribosomal RNA", at positions 506 to 784 of the family's 1533-position model. The record is from RNAcentral.